RNAcentral lists this ribosomal RNA (899 nucleotides) under uncultured archaeon. Its description in RNAcentral is "bacterial SSU rRNA". It matches the Rfam family "Archaeal small subunit ribosomal RNA", at positions 17 to 922 of the family's 1478-position model. The record is from RNAcentral.
CCGGAGGCUACCGCUAUUGGAGUUCGAUUAAGCCAUGCGAGUCGCGAGUCUUAGGGACUCGGCGUACCGCUCAGUAACACGUGGGUAACCUGCCCUAUGCUGGGGGAUAACCUCGGGAAACUGAGAAUAAUACCCCAUAGUUCACCACGCCUGGAACGGUUGGUGGACCAAAGCUCCGGCGGCAUAGGAUGGGCCUGCGGCGUAUCAGGUUGUAGGGGGUGUAAUGUACCCUCUAGCCCUCUACGCGUACGGGUGUUGAGAGACAUCGCCCGGAGAUGGAUUCUGAGACACGAAUCCAGACCCUACGGGGUGCAGCAGGCGCGAAAACUUGGCAAUGCGAGAAAUCGUGACCAGGGAACUCCAAGUGCAUCGGGUAAGACCGAUGCUUUUCUUGACUCUUCAAAGGUCUUGGAAUAAGGGGUGGGUAAGGACGGUGCCAGCCGCCGCGGUAAUACCGGCGCCCCAAGUGGUAGUCGCUUUUAUUGGGCCUAAAACGUCCGUAGCCGGUCUGGUACAUUCGUGGGUAAAUCAACCAGCUCAACUGGUUGAAUUCUGCGAGCACGGCCAGACUUGGGACCGGGAGAGGUGUGGGGUACUCUCAGGGUAGGGGUAAAAUCCUGUCAUCCUGAGAGGACCACCUGUUGCGAAGGCGCCACACUAGAACGGAUCCGACGGUCAGGGACGAAGCCUAGGGGCACGAACCGGAUUAGAUACCCGGGUAGUCCUAGGUGUAAACGCUGUGGACUUGAUGUUGGGGGCGCUCCGAGCGCACUCAGUGUCGAAGCGAAGGUGAUAAGUCCACUGCCUGGGGAGUACGGUCGCAAGGCUGAAACUUAAAGGAAUUGGCGGGGGAGCACCGCAACCUGAGGAUUGUGCGGUUUAAUUGGAUCAACGCCGGG